GGGCCCAUAUCAUGCAAAAUCCACUUUUUAGACAUUUUGGAGCGUUCCUAUGACUCUAUGGGUCACAUAUACACACACUGAGCACGGUAGAAAUGCAUUUCCUGCUUUUUUCACAUUUUGAAAACGUAAAUUUUCUUAUCCAAUGAAAACAGCCACGACCUACUCUGAGGCCGUUCCCCAGUUCUCGUCACACUGGUUGAAAGUUCUCCUUGCAAAUCCUGAACCACCACCCCCACAAUGAUCCCGAACCAAAACUGGACUUCCGCCAUUUCCCCCCUCUCACUCACCGUGAACAGACCAGCACGGCAGCGCCCAAGUCCUCCCAUAGAAAUAGUUCGGUUCUUGGGUGUUCUAACCAACACCAAAGUCUCUUCAUUUUACCAGGGAACAACAAGUGAGGAUUUGUGGGUCACUUUUAUUUUUAACGGACCGGUGCCAGAAACACUGCCUCAGCAUUUAUACGUAUGUGCAUUUCAAACGAGGGUGCGUACAAUGCUGGAUUUGUUUCACGGCUCCUGUUGGAAAAAAAGGAUCUAUUCCUAAAGUCCGUCAUCCACUCACUGAAGAGGGCAAAUCCCAGUUGCCCACAUGCAAGGAGGCUGUCAAACAGAGAAAUCACUGCAGACUGUUGGUACACAGACAUCUGCUGCCCAGCUCAGGAGUAAAGGUAUGUAAGUUUGUAUGUACCAACAGUAAGAUAGGUAAUAGAAGAUUUUAAUUGGUAUAUACUGUUUAGAUUUUAUAUUUGAAUUGUAACAACUGUUUAUCUGUUGUUUUAGCACAGACAGGCCUGUCCUCUUGUUUGGUUUAAUUUUUGUCUGGUAUUGUGUGUUCUUACAUUAGAGAAGGUUUUGACCUACAUAAUAAUUAACAUUUCACUAAUCUACAAUUCUGAUUGCACUACCUUUUGUUUUGAUGAGGUGAUGGUGAGGACAGCCACAGCUUCCAUCUGGUAGAGGACUGCUUCCGCUCAGUCUUCCAAAUAGUGAUGAGAACAAGGAUCACCACAUCUCCCUGUUUACCCUACUUUCAUGCAUUUCGUCUGCAAGGCCCUGCAAAAGCUUCUCCUUCGUCCUCAAACCCCCAGACUUCUUAAUUAACUCAGUAACCUAUACAUUGCACAUUGGAGUGUGAAGGUAACAGUUUGUUCUAGCUUUGGCGUAGUGGUGUAUUUUUUUGGUUUACAAUAAAGUUGGCUUUAACUAUUA
Molecule: long non-coding RNA, 1208 nt
Organism: Betta splendens (Siamese fighting fish)
Lineage: Eukaryota; Metazoa; Chordata; Actinopteri; Anabantiformes; Osphronemidae
Exons: 2
Source: RefSeq, a predicted model, not a curated record